This 429-nucleotide ribosomal RNA is filed under the name Actinomycetes bacterium. RNAcentral's name for it is "Actinobacteria bacterium partial 16S ribosomal RNA". It matches the Rfam family "Bacterial small subunit ribosomal RNA", at positions 355 to 776 of the family's 1533-position model. Lineage: Bacteria; Bacillati; Actinomycetota; Actinomycetes. The record is from RNAcentral.
UAGGGAAUCUUCCGCAAUGGGCGAAAGCCUGACGGAGCAACGCCGCGUGAGUGAUGAAGGUCUUCGGAUCGUAAAACUCUGUUAUUAGGGAAGAACAAAUGUGUAAGUAACUAUGCACGUCUUGACGGUAACUAAUCAGAAAGCCACGGCUAACUACGUGCCAGCAGCCGCGGUAAUACGUAGGUGGCAAGCGUUAUCCGGAAUUAUUGGGCGUAAAGCGCGCGUAGGCGGUUUUUUAACUCUGAUGUGAAAGCCCACGGCGCAACCGUUGAGGGUCAUUGGAAACUGUGAAACUUGAGUGCAGAAGAGGAAAGUGUAAUUCCAUGUGUAGCGGUGAAAUGCGCGGAGAUAUGGAGGAACACCAGUGGCGAAGGCGACUUUCUGGUCUGUAACUGACGCUGAUGUGCGAAAGCGUGUGGAUCAAACAGG